GCGGCAGGCUUAACACAUGCAAGUCUAACGCUGUAGCAAUACAGAGUGGCAGACGGGUGAGUAACGCGUGGGAACGUGCCUUUCGGUUCGGAAUAACUCAGGGAAACUUGAGCUAAUACCGGAUACGCCCUUCGGGGGAAAGAUUUAUUGCCGAAAGAUCGGCCCGCGUCCGAUUAGCUAGUUGGUGAGGUAAUGGCUCACCAAGGCGACGAUCGGUAGCUGGUCUGAGAGGAUGAUCAGCCACACUGGGACUGAGACACGGCCCAGACGCCUACGGGAGGCAGCAGUGGGGAAUAUUGGACAAUGGGCGCAAGCCUGAUCCAGCCAUGCCGCGUGAGUGAUGAAGGCCCUAGGGUUGUAAAGCUCUUUCGCCAGGGACGAUAAUGACGGUACCUGGAUAAGAAGCCCCGGCUAACUUCGUGCCA
This 425-nucleotide ribosomal RNA is filed under the name uncultured Methylosinus sp. RNAcentral describes it as "bacterial SSU rRNA". It matches the Rfam family "Bacterial small subunit ribosomal RNA", at positions 39 to 510 of the family's 1533-position model. Lineage: Bacteria; Pseudomonadati; Pseudomonadota; Alphaproteobacteria; Hyphomicrobiales; Methylocystaceae. The record is from RNAcentral.